CGAGGCGUGGCGGACGAUGACGCGCGGCGCGCCGACCGCCGCGACAUCGCUGACGCUGAAGGGCCGGCAGGUUCUGGUGCCGGCUGCCGCGG
RNAcentral lists this transfer RNA (92 nucleotides) under Mesorhizobium huakuii. RNAcentral describes it as "tRNA-Arg". The record is from RNAcentral. Lineage: Bacteria; Pseudomonadati; Pseudomonadota; Alphaproteobacteria; Hyphomicrobiales; Phyllobacteriaceae.